This 440-nucleotide ribosomal RNA is filed under the name uncultured bacterium. Its description in RNAcentral is "partial 16S ribosomal RNA". It matches the Rfam family "Bacterial small subunit ribosomal RNA", at positions 338 to 795 of the family's 1533-position model. The record is from RNAcentral.
CCUACGGGUGGCAGCAGUGGGGAAUAUUCGGCAAUGGGGGCAACCCUGACCCAGCCAUGCCGCGUGAGUGAAGAAGGUCUUCGGAUUGUAAAGCUCUUUCGGACGUGAAGAUGAUGACGGUUACGUCCAAAGAAGCCCCGGCAAACUUCGUGCCAGAAGCCGCGGUAAUACGACGGGUGCGCGCGUGGGUCGGAAUUACUGGGCGUAAAGGGAGUGUAGGCGGUUAUGUAAGAUAGCGGUGAAAUGCCGGGGCUCAACCCCGGGACGGCCAUUAUGACUAUGUAUCUAGAGUAAUGGAGAGGAUAGCGGAAUACCCAGUGUAGAGGUGAAAUGCGUAGAUAUUGGGUAGAACACCGGUGGCGAAGGCGGCUAUCUGGCCAUUUACUGACGCUGAGGCUCGAAAGCAUGGGGAGCAAACAGGAUUAGAUACCCGUGUAGUC